GAGCUGAGGCUCGAAAGCAUGGGUAGCGAACAGGAUUAGAUACCCCUGGUAGUCCAUGCCGUAAACGAUGAAUGCUAGGUGUUGGAGGGUUUCCGCCCUUCAGUGCCGCAGCUAACGCAUUAAGCAUUCCGCCUGGGGAGUACGACCGCAAGGUUGAAACUCAAAGGAAUUGACGGGGGCCCGCACAAGCGGUGGAGCAUGUGGUUUAAUUCGAAGCAACGCGAAGAACCUUACCAGGUCUUGACAUCUUUUGAUCACCUGAGAGAUCAGGUUUCCCCUUCGGGGGCAAAAUGACAGGUGGUGCAUGGUUGUCGUCAGCUCGUGUCGUGAGAUGUUGGGUUAAGUCCCGCAACGAGCGCAACCCUUAUGACUAGUUGCCAGCAUUUAGUUGGGCACUCUAGUAAGACUGCCGGUGACAAACCGGAGGAAGGUGGGGAUGACGUCAAAUCAUCAUGCCCCUUAUGACCUGGGCUACACACGUGCUACAAUGGAUGGUACAACGAGUUGCGAGACCGCGAGGUCAAGCUAAUCUCUUAAAGCCAUUCUCAGUUCGGACUGUAGGCUGCAACUCGCCUACACGAAGUCGGAAUCGCUAGUAAUCGCGGAUCAGCACGCCGCGGUGAAUACGUUCCCGGGCCUUGUACACACCGCCCGUCACACCAUGAGAGUUUGUAACACCCGAAGCCGGUGGCGUAACCCUUUUAGGGAGCGAGCCGC
This 717-nucleotide ribosomal RNA is filed under the name Lactobacillus sp. RNAcentral describes it as "bacterial SSU rRNA". It matches the Rfam family "Bacterial small subunit ribosomal RNA", at positions 743 to 1456 of the family's 1533-position model. RNAcentral also lists the same sequence under 1 other name. The record is from RNAcentral. Lineage: Bacteria; Bacillati; Bacillota; Bacilli; Lactobacillales; Lactobacillaceae.